AGCUGCCGCUCGGGGGCCUGAGCGGCCGCCUCCGCCGCCACCCGAAAACCCGGAGCGCCCCACACAGGUUUAGACCCAGUGUGCCUGGUGGGCUGUGCCCAGGUUCAGAGUCAUGCCACUCUGUGGGUGAAGCUUGAGGCAAUAAUGGAGCCACUUCAGCAGCAGCAGCAGCAGCAGCAGAAGCGGCAGCAGCAACAGCAGCAACAGAAGCAGCCACACCUGGCUCCUCUGCAGAUGGAUGCCAGAGAGAAGCAGGGCCAGCAGAUGAGAGAAGCCCAGUUCUUGUAUGCCCAAAAGCUGGUCACACAGCCGACUCUCCUUUCCGCCACACCUGGGAGGCCUUCUGGCAGCACUCCCUUAGGUCCCUUAGCCAGAGUUCCACCCACCACAGCAGUAGCCCAAGUCUUUGAACGGGGCAACAUGAACUCAGAGCCUGAGGAAGAGGACGGAGGUUUGGAAGAUGAGGAUGGGGAUGAUGAAGUUGCAGAGGUGGCUGAGAAAGAAACCCAGGCUGCUUCAAAAUAUUUUCAUGUGCAGAAAGUAGCUCGCCAAGAUCCCAGAGUGGCACCCAUGUCCAAUCUACUUCCAGCACCAGGGCUCCCACCACAUGGACAACAAGCUAAAGAAGACCAUACCAAAGAUGCUUCCAAGUCCUCACCUUCUGUCUCCACAGCAGGGCAGCCGAACUGGAAUCUGGAUGAGCAGCUCAAGCAGAAUGGUGGUUUGGCCUGGAGUGAUGAUGCAGAUGGAGGCCGGGGAAGAGAGAUCUCUCGAGAUUUUGCCAAGCUGUAUGAACUGGACGGUGAUCCUGAAAGGAAAGAGUUCCUGGAUGACCUCUUCGUCUUUAUGCAGAAGAGGGGUGAGUGUGCAUCUACUCAUCAUUCCAAUUCAGGGAAUACUGAUAGAGUGUCUACUGUGUGCUAGUCACUGUUAGACAUCCUGGCCCACUAAUCCUCAUCUAGGAGGACAAGAGGCAUUUACUGCCAGCUGGUUCUGGAUUUAGCCAAUUAACCAAUAGCCAGAUUGAAGAGGACAGAGAAGGCAUUGGCACAAAGUAGAUGGAAUGAUUGUCCACGUUUGGCCCUGCCUGAUUUUGUGUCUCUUCUUCCAAUUAACUGGUCUCUGGAGUCACUUCAAAUUCAAAUAUGCCUUUUUUAAGCCUUAAAGCUACCCUGGACUUCACUUAAUCUAGCGUGUGGGGCUUCUUGUUGGCGUAUCUAGUCUCAUGGAGAAAGGUAAGUGAAAGAAUAGAGGCCCCUCAGGAUAUUUUGGAAGGGUCUGAAAUGAUCCAUGGAAAGGAAAGGCCAACACUUUCUUCUUACCCAUUGGCUUUCGAUGUUUGUAUUUGCUGGCUUGGUUAGAACAUUCCUGCAGUUUAACAGUCAGGUACAUAGGCAUCUGCCUUUUUUUUGAGAUGAAGUCUCGCUCUGUUGCCCAGGCUGGAGUGCCGUAGCGUGAUCUCAGCUCACUGCAACCUCUGCCUCCCGUAUUCAGGCAAUUUUCAUGCCUCAGCCUCCCGAGUAGCUGGGACUACAGGUGCACACCACCAUGUCUGGCUAAUUUUUUUUUUUUUUUUCAGUAGAGAUGGGGUUUCACCAUGUUGGCCAGGCUGGUCUCAAAAUCCUGACCUCAAGUGAUCCACCUGCCUUGACCUCCCAAAGUACUGGGAUUACAGGCAUGAGCCACUACGCCCAGCCGGCAUCUGCUUUAUAAUGCACCCUCCCAAUUCUCUUUCCUUCUCUCCUCACUCCCCGCACAUCCCCAAGAGCCAUCUCUACCGUAAACUAUGGUGUGACUGAGUUUAGAGCUGAGUGACUCAACUUCCUGGCUUUGUAUUCAGUCAUAGCAAUGGGUUCACCAGCCAGGUCAGCCCUCAAAACACAUGGCCAGCACCCCAGCCUCUCUAGGAGAAGGCCUUCAGCAACCUGUGUGGCUCCACCUUCAUCACCCUCAGGACAAAACCAUAGAAGAGAGCUACUCCCAGUAGCCUGUUCCCAGUAUCCUGUUAUAGCUGAUCAUGCAUCCCUUGGUGCGAGUGUCAACAACUUUAUUGAGACCUAAGAAUGAAAUCUUCCUCUUUAUCCUGGGCCAAGCUGUAAUGGCAGCCCCCAGCAGCUAAAUAUUCUAAGUUAACUUCUCUCUUUCUGUUUCCCUCCUUCCUCCCACUCCUUUACCUUUGGCAGCCUUAUUGCCUUCUUGGUAGCCUGCCUGUUACCGCUCGUUUGCUUAAAAAGGCAAUCGAAAGUUUUGAAUCUUGGUUUUCCCCAAUCUCUAAGCCCAUCAAAGCAAUCUGAGCAGCCCUAAUUAGUUUGCUCCUCCAGCUGUUAUCUGGAACUGUGUGUGUCAGUAAAAAACAAGAAUAUAAUCCUGAGGCUGGGCGCGGUGGCUCCUGCCUGUAGUCCCAGCACUUUGGGAGGCCAAGGUGGGUGGAUCAGGAGGUCAAGAGAUCGAGGCCAUCCUGGCCAACAUGGUGAAACCCGUCUCUACUAAAAAUACAAAAAUUAGCUGGGCAUGAUAGCGCGUGCCUGUAGUUCCAGCUACUCGGGAGGCUGAGGCAGAAUUGCUUGAACUCGGGAGAUGGAGGUUGCAGUGAGCCAAGGUUGCAGUGAGCCAAGAUUUCGCCACUGCCCUCCAUCCUGGCGACAGAGCGAGACUCCAUCUCAAAAAAAAAAAAAAAAA
Molecule: small RNA, 2679 nt
Filed under: Pongo abelii (Sumatran orangutan)
Lineage: Eukaryota; Metazoa; Chordata; Mammalia; Primates; Hominidae
Description: retained intron
Source: RNAcentral